UACGUAGGGACCAAGCGUUGUUCGGAUUUACUGGGCGUAAAGGGCGCGUAGGCGGCGUGGUAAGUCAGCUGUGAAAUCUCCGAGCUUAACUCGGAACGGUCAGCUGAUACUGCUGUGCUAGAGUACAGAAGGGGCAAUCGGAAUUCUUGGUGUAGCGGUGAAAUGCGUAGAUAUCAAGAGGAACACCUGAGGCGAAGGCGGGUUGCUAGGCUGAUACUGACGCUGAGUGCGCGAAAGCUAGGGUAGCAAACGGG
Molecule: ribosomal RNA, 254 nt
Filed under: uncultured bacterium
Lineage: Bacteria
Description: partial 16S ribosomal RNA
Rfam family: Bacterial small subunit ribosomal RNA
Source: RNAcentral